Molecule: long non-coding RNA, 364 nt
Organism: Heterocephalus glaber (naked mole-rat)
Lineage: Eukaryota; Metazoa; Chordata; Mammalia; Rodentia; Bathyergidae
Source: Ensembl
AGGUCUUCAGAACCUCAACAUGUUGCCUUCCCAGGCUGGGAGAGCUGCCAUGAGGUAAACAGAUCUUCUCCACCACAUGCUCCUGCCAUGAUAUACUAUGGUAUGGUAUAUCACAGACCCCAAGCAACAGGACCAAUUGGUUCUGGACUGAACCCUCCAAAACAUCCUCCUCCCCGCUUCAUCAAGAGGAUCCAGAUGCAUCGAGUCACAACCCCAGCGGCUUCCUACUCAUUUCAGAGGAAGCGCAGGAAAGGAAAGUCAGCCGGCAGCAGGGGGCGCCCGCGUCUCGCUCUCAGCUUCCUCCGGGCGUCCUGGAGCCCGGCUCAGCUCCAGCAAAGGCGGGAGAGCGCUGAGGCCCUGCACA